Molecule: long non-coding RNA, 1878 nt
Organism: Felis catus (domestic cat)
Lineage: Eukaryota; Metazoa; Chordata; Mammalia; Carnivora; Felidae
Exons: 4
Source: RefSeq, a predicted model, not a curated record
UGCGCUGGGGCUGGGCCACGUGUCCAGAAACCGGCCCAGCUGAUUGGCUCAUCUGCGCUCCAUCCCUCCCAAGCUGGGGCGGAGCUUGUGGGGCCUGCGCCUUCGGGACUUCGCGGGGAAAUUGCAGACAGGUGCUCCGCGAGGACAAGGAGAGCCGAAGCCGCAGGCCGCUGUGGUUAGAGCCUGUCACAUCGGCGCGGACGCAAGCCUCCGGCAGCCUCCAGAGAGCUUUGACAGUGCUGUAGACGCCUCAACCCACCUGAUGUAUGGAAUCUGCUCCCUGCCGAAUUAAUUUCCUCCCCAGCCCCCGAGAACCUUCAAAGAGCUUGAGUGGGGAAGAGGGCAGACAGAAGGCGAGAAUCUUAAGCAGGCUCAUGGAGCCCGAUAACGGGGCUGGAUCGCACGACCCUGGGAUCAUGACCGGAGCCGAAGCCAAGAGUCAGACGCUCAACCAACUGAGACCUCCAGGUGCCUUGACCACAACACAUCUUUCAUCUCCUUGUGUCCUGCUGGCAGAGUUGGCGAGGAGCCCCUCGGACGCUCCAAACAGGAUUCCCUUCGGAUCUGAAGAGGCUGAAGCUCCUUGGGUAGGAGCGGAAGCCGAGUCCGGAAGCCAGCUGGCCCUUCAUGCUGCUUCUUCAUUAACUUUGAUGAAAUCCCCGGCACAUCGUGAAACGGGUUGGGAGGGCUUCAGUGGAAGAGAGCCCCUGAGAAAUCAGUCUCUGGUUUUCCCUCCCAGUUUGUCAGUUUGUUAAUAUUACAGUGGCCAAAAUAGACCCAAAGUAAAGGCGUGUGUGUGUGUGUGUGUGUGUGUGUGUGUGUGUCCAGCAGGAGCAUGUAGUGUGAAGUGCUCCCACCUCACCAGGAGUGCUCUCCACACGCAUCUGGGGCAUCACUGACAGCCCCCACUCUGGGUAGCCUGCUGAGGGAGAGGGGGUCUUCCUGGUCAUCUGUGGCUCUCCCUCCGUGUGGGGGGCUCUCCGGGAGGCUCCUUCACCAGUGGUCACGCAGGGGAUGGUCUGGCUUCCCCAAUGGAGCCAUCACUCAAGACUCUGUUUCUUUUGUACACAGAGUCUCCUUAUGACUUUAAUUCCUAGCUUUGGGGUAUUUCUUAAGAAGCUGGAAGGAACAAAGUAAAUUCACCUUCUCUGUCCUAUCUAAACAUAAGCCUUGGGCAUUCUUGUUUUUCCUCCACCAUAUUGUUGAAUUGGGAGAAUUUUUAAACCAACGUCAACCUGAUCAUCUUCUGCAAGGUACCAAGAGUUUUCUGAUUUUUCUCCGCAAUAGUUUAUCUACUUUUUUGUAAACACAUCCAUUUACACACUAUAUACGCACAGCACCCCCCACACAAGCACAUGACAACCUCUUCUAAUAUUUGUACUGUUUCCUAUUUAGCAGUAUAUUCCCUUAUUAGAAUACUCUCUGAAAAUUAUUCACACCAAAAACCCUGCAGCUUUUUAAAAGAUGUAUUUCAUUUUUUUCCUUGUGUCGCACAGAAUUAAUCAAGGUUCUAAUGAUUGUUCUGCAGGUGUUAUUUCAAAAACAACAAGUACCCCCCAAAUCAGUAAGUUUACAGGGAGACUUCUGAUUACAGGAGCUGAUGACUAUUAUUUCUAAAAUAGAAGAUGUGAAGUGUGACAGAAAUCAAUGACACGGCCAUUAGGUUGGAGCUAAAUUUACCCAGGUUUUACAUUUGUGAGGUUCUUACCCCCUUCUCUGUAAAUACCACGUUGUGACUUGUGAGUGUGUACACUUGGAUAUUUAUAACUUAUCCUGAUGAUUUGGGGAAGAAUUUGAAAGAAUCAAUGCCCAGAGAUCUACUCAACAAUAUUACUGAGGAGCUGAUCAGUGCAAGGCUUGACCCUGGGCCACGAAGGA